AGUUAGGCAUGGCAAUUCUUUAGCUUUAGCUUUGAUUUUUAUAACAGCAGUUGUAUGCUCACUGCUCCAAUUAGCAGGGUUUUUCCGUAAUCUUGCAUAUAGAGGAAAUUUAUCAGCAAAGGAUAUAGCCCGUUCUAUAGAUACCACUAAUCCGGCC
Long non-coding RNA from Papaver somniferum (opium poppy), 157 nucleotides. RefSeq lists it as uncharacterized. The record is from RefSeq and is a predicted model, not a curated record. The transcript is spliced from 3 exons. Lineage: Eukaryota; Viridiplantae; Streptophyta; Magnoliopsida; Ranunculales; Papaveraceae.